This 837-nucleotide ribosomal RNA is filed under the name uncultured bacterium. Its description in RNAcentral is "bacterial SSU rRNA". It matches the Rfam family "Bacterial small subunit ribosomal RNA", at positions 8 to 806 of the family's 1533-position model. The record is from RNAcentral.
AGAGUUUGAUCCUGGCUCAGGACGAACGCUGGCGGCGUGCUUAACACAUGCAAGUCGAACGAAAAGACUGAAAGAACUUGCUCUUUUCCUAAUUGAGUGGCGAAUCUGGAGUGAGUAACACGUAGACUACCUGCCGUCAGGAUGGGGACGACAGACGGAAACAACUGCUAAUACCAAAGAAGUUCCAAGAGCCGACUGGCCCAUGGAAUAAAAGGUGGCCUCUACCUGUAAGCUAUCGACAGAAAAGGGGUUUGCAUCUGAUUAGCUGGGUGGAGGGGUAACGGCCCACCAAGGCAACGAUCACUAGGCCGGUCUGAGAAGAUGAACGGUCGCGCAUGGAACUGAGACACCGACCUACACUCCUACGGGAGGCACCAGUGCCGAAUUCUCCGCAAUGGCAGCAAUCCUGACGGAGCCACACCGCGUGAGUGCUGGCGGCCUUCGGGUUGUAAAACUGUGUGAUCCUGGACGAAAAGGCAGAGUGCUCAGCACAAACGGCAUUGACGGUACCGGAAAAGCAAGCCCCGGCUAACUACGUGCCAGCAGCCGCGGUAAUACGUAGGUGGCAAGCGUUGUCCGGAAUUAUUGGGCGUAAAGCGCGCGCAGGCGGCUUCCCAAGUCCCUAUUAAAAGUCCGGGGCUCAACCCCGUGAUGGGAAGGAAACUGGGCCGUUGGAGUAUCGGAGAGGAAAGUGGAAUUCCUAGUGGAGCGGUGAAAAGGGUAGAGAUUAGGAAGAACCCCCGUGGGGAAGGGGACUUUCUGGACGAAAACCGGCGGUGAGGCGUGAAAGCGUGGGGAGCCAACCGGAUUAGAUUCCCUGGUAGUUCCCCCCGUAAA